Transfer RNA from Thecamonas trahens ATCC 50062, 73 nucleotides. It matches the Rfam family "tRNA". From Rfam's summary of the family: Transfer RNA (tRNA) molecules are approximately 80 nucleotides in length. Their secondary structure includes four short double-helical elements and three loops (D, anti-codon, and T loops). Lineage: Eukaryota; Apusomonadida; Apusomonadidae. The record is from Rfam.
GAUCCGAUAACUCAGUUGGAAGAGUGUCAGCUUAACACGCUGAAUGUCGGGGGAUCGAAACCCUCUCGGAUCU